This 5125-nucleotide long non-coding RNA is filed under the name Sus scrofa (pig). RNAcentral describes it as "lncRNA (ENSSSCG00040033543.1)". The record is from RNAcentral. Lineage: Eukaryota; Metazoa; Chordata; Mammalia; Artiodactyla; Suidae.
CUUAAUGUUGCUAUAGAAGUUCCCAUUUAUUUGGCACGUUUUUUCAGAGUACAUUUUUAGUUCAAGAAUUACCUAACCAGCCCCUCAAGUUUGUCAGCUCUAAAAGUGUGUAUACUUUUAUUUUUCUCCACAUAAUGUCUUUGUCAGUUAUAAACCCGGAAGAAAACUGAGGGCUUAUCUAGCUCAAGUGAAGUGGAAUGAAUUGAUUUCAACUGAAACCAUCCAGGAAGUGGCAGAACCAAGUAUAAAACCUAGGUCUCUAGAUUCCAUUCAAAUGCUAUUUUCAUGACUCCGUGGCAUUCAUUAACUUACUGACUUAUUCACUCACUGAAUAAAUAUCUUUUCUUAAAUUUAAUUUUAUUGACAUGUAGUUGAUUUACAAUGAUAAAUAUCUUUUGAGUGCUACUGUGUGCCAGAGUUUGUGCCAGGCAUGGUAAUACACUAUUAAUGAGAAAAUAGUCCUUGCUCUCCAGGAAAUUGGAAGGGGGGCGGGGGAAAGACGAAUAGGUAAUUCUUUGAUAAAAGUAUGCACAGAAUACUUUGGGCAUAUGUAAAAAGGUAUUAUAAGCAAUUCUCAGGUGGGCAAGAAAAACUUCCAAGAGGAGGAGAUCUGAAUUCUAAAGAACAAAUAGAAACUAGUCAGGCAAAGGAAUGAGUCAGGAUAGGGAAUGGGCAUUCCAGGCUGAAUAAGCAGCAUGUGCAGGUGCACUGAAGUCCAAGUGCUUGGCUUAUUUCCAUGAACCGGAAAAUGGUGCUAUGUGAUUUGAGCUUGGCAUACAAGGAAGGGAAUGAUAAGAGGUAAGACUGAAGAUAUAAAGCAGAGUCCAGAUUACGUGGGCCAGGCUAAGGAAUAUAAAGUACACCCGGAAAGAAAUGGUAUGAGCAGUGGAGGAUGGCAGGGAACAACUGAUCAAAUUGAAUUCUGCAAUGAUUACUCUGACUUUUGUGAAUAAACCAGACUGAAGAGAAAUUAAACGUAGACAAGGGAAGACGAAUCAAAAGGUCGUUGCAUUAAUCCAAGGGUAUCAUUUUAUAGAUUGAUCUGGUUACUGUAACGGGACGCUCCAUAUCAGGGGUUCGCACAAGAUAGAAGUUUCUUCCUCACUUCAACAGGGCAUAAGCAAUCCAGACCUGGUAGAACAGUUCCAGGAUGUGGAUGAUCAGGGGUUGUCCUCAUCUACAUGUUCCAAGACGGUUCACAACUACAACAUAUGCCUUGCAGCCUGAGAAAAAGUAAAACGAGAAGAGGACACAUUUAUGUUUCCUUUUUUUUUCUCUCUUUUGUUCUAGAGCCACAUCUGUGGCAUAUGGAUUUUCCCAGACUAGGGGUGAAUCAGAGCUAUAACCUAUACCACAGCCACAGCAAUGCCACAUCUGAGCCAUGUUUGUGACCUACACCACAGCUCCUGGCAAUGCUGGAUCCUUAACCCUCUGAGUGAGGCCAGGGAUCAAACCCUCAUCCUCAUGGAUGUUAGUCGUUACCAUGAGGUUGGUUACCACUGAGCCAAAAUGGGAACUCCAGGAUACGUUUCCUCUUAAGUUUAUGAUAUGGAAGUUUCACAUCACUUCAGCUCAGAGUCCAUUAGCCAGAAUUUAGACACAUGACCAUUGCUUAUGAAAGAAUAGCUAGGAAACGUAGUUUUUAUUCUUUGAGGCCACAUGCCCUGUCAAAAACAACAUCUAUUACCAUAAAUGAAAGGAGAGAAUAACUUUUCUGGAGGACAAUUAGCCGUUUCUAUCAUGCUAAAUAAGAAAAGGACCUGAUACCCAAAGCCCUCUACAGAGUCAACACAAUCCCCAUCAAAAUACCAAUGGCAUUCUUUACAAAAACAGAAAAAGCAAACAAACCUAAAGUACGUAUGCAGCCAUAAAAGACUCCUAAUAGCCAAAGCAAUCAUAGGGGGAAAAAAAGCUAGAAGUAUCAUACGUCCUGAUUUUAAACCAUACAGCAAAGCUACAGUAAUAAAAACAGUAUGGUACUGACACAAAAAUAGACAUAUAGACCAAUGGAACAUAAUAGCAUAGAAUUAAACUUCUGUUUAUAUGGUCAACUAAUACUCUCCAAGAAAGCCAAGAACACACAAUGAUAAAUACAUGCAGAGCAAUGCAAUUGGACCCAUGCCUCACACCACUCCCAAAAAUUAACUUGAAAUGGAUCAAAGUCUUUUUUUGUUUGUUUGUUUGUUUACCUUUUCUAGGGCUGAUUCUGCAGCAUAUGGAGGUUCCCAGGCCAGGGGUUUAGUCAGAGCUGUAGCUGCCAGCCAAAAGACAAAAGCCAAAAGCCACAGCAACUCGGUAUCUGAGCACAUCUGCAACCUACACCACAGCUCACUGCAAUGCCGAAUCCUUAGCCCACUGAGAAAGGCCAGGGAUUGAACCCGAGACCUUAUGGUUCCUAGUCAGAUUUGUUAGCCCCUGAGCCACAAUAGGAACUCCUGGAUCAAAUUCCUAACGAUAAGAUGUGAUACUAUAAAACUCCUAGAAGAAAACGUAGAGAAGAAAUUCCUUAAUAUUGAUCUUAGAAAUGAUUCUCUUGGAUAUGACACCAAAAUCACAAUCACCAAAAGCAAAAAUUAACAAAUUGGCUCUGAAAUAAACUUAAAAGCUUUUGCACAGCAAAAGAAACAGUUAACAAAAUGAAAAGGCAACCUACAGAAUGAGGGAAAUUUUUACAAACCAUAUACCUGUUAGGAAGUUAAUAUCCAAAAUAUAUAAAGAACUCAUACAAUUCAAUAACAAAAAGACAAACAAUUAAUUAAAAAAUGGAGAGAAGAUCUAAAUAGACAUUUUCCCAAAAAAGUCGUCCAAAUGGCCAUCAGAUACAUGAAGAGGUGCUCAACAUCACUAAUUAUUAGGGAAAUGCAAAAUUAAAACCUCAGAUUUUUAUCUCACAUACAUUUGAAUGGUUAUCAUCGAGAAUAAGAAAUGGGAGUUCCUCUUGUGGCUCAGUGGGUUAAGAACCCGACUAGUAUCACUGAGGAUCCAGGUUCGAUCCCUGGCCUCCCUCAGUGCCUUAAACUAUCUGGCAUUGUUGCAAGCUGUGGUGUAGGUCGUAGAUGUGGCUGGGAUCAGGCAUUGCUGUGGCUAUGACAUAGGCCAGCAGCUACAGCUUCGAUUUGACCCCUAGCCUGGGAACCUCCAUAUGUUGCAGGUGCAGCCCUAAAAAAAUAAAUAAAUAAAUAAGGCAAGAGGUAACAAGUGCUGGCAGGGAUGUGGAGAAAAGGGAAAUUUGUGCAGCGUUGGUGGGAAUAUAAAGUGGUGCAGCCACUAUGGGAAAAAUUGUGGCAGUUCCUCAAAAAGCUAAAAAUAGAACUACCAGGAGUUCCUUUCCUGGCUCAGUGUAGACAAACCUGACUAGGAUUCAUGAGGAUGCAGGUUCGAUCCCUGGCCUCGAUCAGUGGGUUAAGGAUCCGGUGUUGCCAUGAGCUGUGGUGGAGGUCACAGAGGCGCUUGGAUAUCCAUAUUGCUGUGGCUGUGGUGUAGGCUGGCAGCUGCAGUUCCCAUUCGACCCCUAGCCUGGGAACUUCCAUAUGUCACAGGUUGGGCCCUAAAAAGCAAAAAAAUAAAAGUAAAUAGAUUAAAUUAAAAAAAAUUAUACGUGGAAUUUUAAAAAUUCAAACUUAGCUGUACACCUGAAACUAACACGACAUUGUAAGUCACCUAUAGAUCAAUAAAAUUUAUUUUAAAAGACUCAAUAUUUCAAGUAAAAUUAUAAAAACAUAGGGUAUUUGGUAUUCUGCAACCCAAAUAUGAGUCAGCACCAUGUGGCUUCUCAGAGAAGAAGCUAUUUUCUUGUUUCCUUAUAACAAAUAGUUCCCUGCUCCUAACAUAUUUUUUCUCAUUACUUUAAAGAUGAAUUAUUUAGGAAAUAGGUUAGAAAUCAGUACAAGUAUCUUGGAGCUAUUUUGUAGACAUAUGAAAUUAUUCUAAAGAUUAUAGAAAGUUACAGCAAAAGGAAUUCUUUGAGAUUCUCCAGAGCAGUCUUGCUGCACAUUAAAAUCAUUUAGGGAAUUUUUUAAAUAGUAAUAGCGGGGUCCCACCCCCAGAGAUUCUGAUCUUAUCGUUCCAAAAUGUUACCUGAGCACCAGGAUUUUUUUCAGACCUCUCAGAUGUUUACCACUUUAUUUAAUUUUGUAACUUUUUUCUCAAAAUUUUAUUUAAAAAAAUUUUUAAUUGCAUGGAUAAUAAAAUGAGCUGCAUAUCCUUUACCUAGAUUCACUCAUAGUUGACAUUUGGCCAUAUUGGCUUUGAAUAAUUCACUUUUAAGAUUCAUUAUAGUAACUUUUAUACAUUUUAAUACAUUUAUAACAAUAAAAAUGAGUCACUGCAAAAAAAGAAAGAAAAGCCAAACUCGUAAAAACAGAAUAAAAUGGUGGCUACCAGCAGUUGGGCAGUAGGGGGUCAAGACAGACAUUGUUUAAGAGUAUUUACUUAUACUCAGUAGCACAUAAGCCCUAGAGUUAUAAUGCAUGGUACAAUGAAUAUAGAUAGAAAUAUUAUAAUCAUCGGAGUUCCCGUCGUGGAGCAGUGGUUAACGAAUCUGACUGGGAACCAUGAGGUUGCGGGUUCCAUCCCUGGUUUUGCUCAUGGGUUAAGGAUCUGGCCCUUGCUGUGGGCUGUGGUGGAGGUUGCAGACGCAGCUCAGAUCCUGCGUUGCUGUGGCUCUGGCGUAGGCUGGCGGCUACAGCUCUGAUUAGACCCCUUAGCCUGGGAACCUCCAUAUGCCACAGAUGUGGCCCUAGAAAAAGGCAAAAAGACAACAACAACAAAAAAAGAAAAGAAAUACUAUAUUAUAUUGCUAAGAUACUAGAACUUAAUUAUUCCAACUACUGAAAAAGAAAGAGCAAUUAUGUAAUGUGAUAGAGGUGUUAAUUAUCUACAAUGGCAGUCAAAUUAUAAUAUGUAAAUAUAGCAAAUUUACUUGUUGUACACCUUAAAUUCACACAACAUGAUAUGUCAAAUAUGUUUCAAUUUAAAAAGAAAAAGAGGAGAGUUCCCAUCAUGGCUCAGUGGUAACUACCUGGACUCGUAUAUAUGAAGAUGCCGGCUCCAUCCCUGAUCUCGAUCAGUGGGUUAAGGAUCCAGAUUGCAGAUAUGCCUCAGACCCUGCGUUGCUGUGCCUGUG